This 491-nucleotide ribosomal RNA is filed under the name uncultured bacterium. RNAcentral's name for it is "bacterial SSU rRNA". It matches the Rfam family "Bacterial small subunit ribosomal RNA", at positions 28 to 507 of the family's 1533-position model. The record is from RNAcentral.
GAUGAACGCUAGCUACAGGCUUAACACAUGCAAGUCGAGGGGCAGCAUGGUCUUAGCUUGCUAAGGCCGAUGGCGACCGGCGCACGGGUGAGUAACACGUAUCCAACCUGCCGUCUACUCUUGGACAGCCUUCUGAAAGGAAGAUUAAUACAAGAUGGCAUCAUGAGUUCACAUGUUCACAUGAUUAAAGGUAUUCCGGUAGACGAUGGGGAUGCGUUCCAUUAGAUAGUAGGCGGGGUAACGGCCCACCUAGUCUUCGAUGGAUAGGGGUUCUGAGAGGAAGGUCCCCCACAUUGGAACUGAGACACGGUCCAAAACUCCUACGGGAGGCAGCAGUGAGGAAUAUUGGUCAAUGGACGAGAGUCUGAACCAGCCAAGUAGCGUGAAGGAUGACUGCCCUAUGGGUUGUAAACUUCUUUUAUACGGGAAUAAAGUGAGGCACGUGUGCCUUUUUGUAUGUACCGUAUGAAUAAGCAUCGGCUAACUCCGUG